AUGUCCCCACAUCCACUGCAGAGCUGGGGAGCUGGGAAUCCCCACUUCAUCCCAGCCCAGUGCCCAGAGAGCAGGAGGCUCCUGGUACCCAGUGGCCUCUGGAUGAAACGUUGGGAAAUUACUACACAGUGGCAGCAGGAACAGAGGCGGAAGGGGUCCUGCAGCGACAACGUUGUCGGCGGGGGUGGCCAAGGGAGCUGAGCACUGAGGGGACUUGCCCGCUCAGAAGCUGGAUCUCGAGCUGGGCAGGAUGGAUCACCACCAGCUGGGGACUGGGCAUUACCAGGUGCUUCUUAAUGAAGAGGAUAACUCAGAAUCAUUGGCCAUAGAGCAGCCAUCUACUUCAAACCCAGCACCACAGAUUGUGCAGGUUGCCUCUUCAGCACCAACAGUUGAAACUGACUCUUACCCUCCACCAUAUAGUAAUAUUACUGCAAAAGUACCUACAAGUUCAGAUACAGAAGUUUACAGUGAGUCUUAUCCUGUGCCACCUCCCUAUAGUGUUGCUACCUCUCUUCCUACAUACAAUGAAGCUGAGAAGGCUAAAGCUGCUGCAAUGGCAGCUGUAGCAGCAGAAACAUCUCAAAAUAUUCAGGAGGAAGAGUGUCCACCAAGAGAUUACUUCAGUGAUGCAGACCAGCUCAGAGUGGGGAAUGAUGGCAUUUUCAUGCUGGCAUUUUUCACGGCAUUUAUUUUCAACUGGCUUGGAUUUUGUUUAUCCUUCUGUAUCACCAAUACCAUAGCUGGACGGUAUGGUGCUAUCUGCGGAUUUGGCCUUUCCUUGAUCAAAUGGAUCCUUAUUGUCAGGUUUUCUGAUUAUUUUACUGGAUAUUUCAAUGGACAGUAUCGGCUUUGGUGGAUAUUUCUUGUACUUGGCCUGCUCCUUUUCUUCAGAGGAUUUGUUAAUUAUCUAAAGUCAGAAACAUGUCUGAAAGUAUGGCAGCUGCUCAUAGAACAAGGUAUUUCUUCUUAUAGAGACUGCAUCAACCCAACAUUCCUUUCUUAUACCAAUGUGAAAUUUCCAGAUCAUCAGUAAACCUACAACUUUAAUAGGAUAGAAGACUACUAAUUGCAGAAGACAAAUUAGUGAAGAAAAGACAGAGCUUUGAAACCGAAUGGCAGAGUGGCUUAUGUUUACAGGCCACUUCUGUUCAUUCUUUAAGUAUCUAUAUUUCAUUUGUUUUGCACAUAUGCAUAUGUGCCCACUUAAGAGAUCUGCAUAUACUUGAAAGAAAUCAUAAAGUUGUGGCACUUAAGUCCAGUCACAUUUGGUUAAUCAGUGUUUGAUAUAAUUGAAAGAGGUGAGUGAUAAACAAUCUUCCAGCAUGUAAAUGCCAUUGACUUUUGACCUGAUAUUUAGUAUAAUAAAAAUGAAAUUAUUAACCAUGAAAAAAAAGAAAAGAAAA
Sapajus apella (tufted capuchin) is the source of this 1406-nucleotide RNA transcript. It is a transcript of the gene named NEDD4 family-interacting protein 2 pseudogene, with no coding region annotated. NCBI's taxonomy places the organism in Eukaryota, Metazoa, Chordata, Mammalia, Primates, Cebidae. The transcript has 2 exons. The record is from RefSeq and is a predicted model, not a curated record.